This is a long non-coding RNA of Eptesicus fuscus (big brown bat), 239 nucleotides long. RefSeq lists it as uncharacterized. The record is from RefSeq and is a predicted model, not a curated record. Lineage: Eukaryota; Metazoa; Chordata; Mammalia; Chiroptera; Vespertilionidae. The transcript is spliced from 3 exons.
AUGGUGAUGGCUUAAGCAAGUAUCACGGCGCGUACUUUUUCCGAAGUGUUUGCUCAUUUUUCCUCCCAUUUGAUUUUCAUCAUAUUCCUCGGAAAGUAAGAAGUCAAAGUGUCUUUUUUUUUCGGGCAACUUCAUAUUAGAAGACUCACUGACUUUAUCAACUAGUGAAGAAGGAAGAAAAAUAAAUACCCUCUUUCAGUGUCUGUUAAUCUUAAAGUUUUCUCCUAGGUUAGAAAAAG